GGAAAGAUGGCAGAGAGGCUGAAUGCACCGCACUCGAAAUGCGGCAGACCCUUUGGGUCUCGGGGGUUCAAAUCCCCCUCUUUCCGCCA
Molecule: transfer RNA, 89 nt
Filed under: Anaerobiospirillum succiniciproducens
Lineage: Bacteria; Pseudomonadati; Pseudomonadota; Gammaproteobacteria; Aeromonadales; Succinivibrionaceae
Description: tRNA-Ser
Rfam family: tRNA
About the family: Transfer RNA (tRNA) molecules are approximately 80 nucleotides in length.
Source: RNAcentral